This is a long non-coding RNA of Oreochromis niloticus (Nile tilapia), 448 nucleotides long. RefSeq lists it as uncharacterized. Lineage: Eukaryota; Metazoa; Chordata; Actinopteri; Cichliformes; Cichlidae. The record is from RefSeq and is a predicted model, not a curated record. The transcript is spliced from 3 exons.
UUACACUUGAGGCUUAUAAGGCUGAAGUUGGCAAGCCUUAUCAAAGAAUCACUGUUUUCAUCUGCUUGAAGAGUGACUUUGAAGAUGUUGGAGAAAACUCAGACUUGUCUGACUCUGACCCAGAGAUUGUUAUUAAAAGGCCCUCUGAGUUUGAUCUUGCUGAUACACUGCCAUGGGAACUUCAACAUGAAAACAGUCCUUUACAGAAAGCGGCAGAAUAUGAGUAAGUGAUAUUUGAAGAACAUGUAAUCUUUUACUGUUUUUUGCCUACACUUUGUAUUAAUGAGAUAUACACUUUUGUCAUUCAUUCUGUAUAUGGUUUUUGGAACAUGGACUACUUAAUACUUGUAUUGCUUGUUUGUUAAUCAAGAUGCUUAAAUAUUCUCAAAGUGUCAAUUAAUAUUUUCACAGUACACAACAAAAAUGCUUUUCUUUGUUCUCUAAGGAA